Long non-coding RNA from Polypterus senegalus (gray bichir), 698 nucleotides. RefSeq lists it as uncharacterized. The transcript has 2 exons. The record is from RefSeq and is a predicted model, not a curated record. NCBI's taxonomy places the organism in Eukaryota, Metazoa, Chordata, Cladistia, Polypteriformes, Polypteridae.
UAGGAGCUGAGAGGCCAGCAGAGCACAAAGCGGCAGGCAGCACCAUGAGGACCUCCAUUCUAAUACUCUUGAUCAUAUGGACCGUGUGUGAAGAAAAUUGGGCUAUUGCAAUUCCGGAGAAAACGGCAGUUCCUGAACAUCAAGUGAUGCGUGAAAAACGAGGAAUACCUGAAACUCUGGACGGAGUAAAGGACAGAAUCGAGGACGACUGGGAGAGAAUGCUCAGAGCAGCAAUUCGGAGGUUUACGGGAUUUUCCUUUCAAUUCUAGGCCCAGUGAGCAGAAUGGCCAACUGGUUAUGAAGUUUGAUUGAAUUCCACCAGCUUAUAUGAUACACUCGGGCCUAACUACUGGCUCGCUGUGUCCUAUAAUAUCAGUUUGCUUUCUUCAGCUUUUAAUGUUGACCGAUAUGAAGAACUACAUUUGACGUGUUGUGCGUGGAGUUAGGGUGGUAAACGACAAAGCUGCCUAUUCAAUCCCCACCACUGACUCAAAGUGUGUGCCCCCAAAUUAUUCACCUACUUCAGGCUUCAGCUACAGCUGUAACUAAAUGAAUGAAUAACGUACUGCAUAGUACUUGUAAUGCCUUUCACAUUAUUUGUGUAACUUGUAUGUUUUUGUCAUCAUGUGGGACUGUGUGUUAAUAACUUGCUCAGAAAUAAAUAUAAUAAAUAUACUAAUGUUACAAAGUUUUGAAAA